AGGUAAGCUACUAAGAGCGAAUGGUGGAUGCCUUGACUGGUAGAGGCGAUGAAGGACGUACUAGACUGCGAUAAGCUAGGUGGAGCUGUCAAGAAGCUUUGAUGCCUAGAUUUCCGAAUGGGGCAACCCAGUAUAUAGAGAUAUAUACUACCAUAAUGGAGCGAACGAGGGGAAUUGAAACAUCUUAGUACCCUCAGGAAAAGAAAUCAAACGAGAUUGCGUCAGUAGCGGCGAGCGAAAGCGUAAGAGGGCAAACCCAGUGCUUGCACUGGGGGUUGUAGGACUGCAAUGUGCAAGAGGAAAGGUUAGCAGAACACUCUGGAAAGUGUAGCCAUAGAGGGUGAUAGUCCCGUAUGCAAAAACCUAACCUUAGCUAGCAGUAUCCUGAGUAGGGCGGGACACGAGAAAUCCUGUCUGAAGCUGGGUAGACCACUAUCCAACCCUAAAUACUCCUACCAGAUCGAUAGCGAACAAGUACCGUGAGGGAAAGGUGAAAAGAACGGCGGUGAGCCGAGUGAAAUAGAACCUGAAACCAUUUGCUUACAAUCAUUCAGAGCACUAUGUAGCAAUACAGUGUGAUGGACUGCCUUUUGCAUAAUGAGCCUGCGAGUUGUGGUGUCUGGCAAGGUUAAGCUAACGCGAAGCCGUAGCGAAAGCGAGUCUGAAUAGGGCGCUAAGUCAGAUGCUGCAGACCCGAAACGAAGUGAUCUAUCCAUGAGCAGGUUGAAGCUAGUGUAAGAACUAGUGGAGGACCGAACCCGCUAGCGUUGAAAAGCUAUGGGAUGACUUGUGGAUAGGGGUGAAAGGCCAAUCAAACUUCGUGAUAGCUGGUUCUCUCCGAAAUAUAUUU
This 850-nucleotide ribosomal RNA is filed under the name Campylobacter upsaliensis. Its description in RNAcentral is "partial 23S ribosomal RNA". It matches the Rfam family "Bacterial large subunit ribosomal RNA", at positions 1 to 871 of the family's 2925-position model. The record is from RNAcentral. Lineage: Bacteria; Pseudomonadati; Campylobacterota; Epsilonproteobacteria; Campylobacterales; Campylobacteraceae.